Molecule: long non-coding RNA, 511 nt
Filed under: Homo sapiens (human)
Lineage: Eukaryota; Metazoa; Chordata; Mammalia; Primates; Hominidae
Description: non-protein coding lnc-AHDC1-1:3
Source: RNAcentral
CGGCAGCCCAGCACUCCGAUGGGAGCUUGCCUGAUUGUCAACCCAUCGGCCUGGACCCCAGAGCCCACCCAGUUGAGCGUGUGCAGAGGGCCCCGAGUGCGGGGCGACGCUCAGGCCGUUGCAGAGACCACCCUGGAGAUGCUGAUGAAGACAGGCCUUUCCUGCUGAGCCCAGCCUAUCUUCGCAGCCUGCUCAGGCGCUGUCCACGCCCCGAGGCCUGGGCUCAGGCCGAAGUUGCUCCACAGCACCCCCAGCUGACAGCCAGCGACUGGCAGAGCCCCCAGGCACGGGGGCCCUCUCUCUUCCAGAGAUCUCCAGUGUGACAGCCCAGGCGGCAGAGCCGAGGGUGAGUGGUGGGGGUUCUCCUGGAGCCCUUUCGGGGUAAGAAGGAGGGAGGCCGUGCCCUUGUUAGAACUUCCUGGCCUUCUCCUUAAGUUUGAUCACCCUGCUGAUGUGCUUCCCUCUCAAAGGCAGGGGUCCUGUUCUUCCUGAGUGCAUAGCCAGAUUCCCA